GACCUUGACUACAAGAGUGUAAACACAACUGCGCCGUACAGAAUUCUAACUAAUAUUCAUACGAGGAUUUUUUAUUUUACACCCACAUGCUCACUCGGUGUGUUUGACGCUCAGCCAACAGCCACGGAGCGACAAAGGGAAAACUUAAGCUUACGAUUACGACGGGAGUUUGGUCUUGCCUUACCUGAUGACGAAGAGACGAGACCACCUACCGAAAACACCGAUGGCGCGGGCGGUGCGAAGCGGUGCGACAGGUAGUGGGCUGUGGGCUGUGAGCUCACUAUAAGACAUUAUUUUUGUAAAUCUCAGACGGUGUCACGCCCGUCGCCUGUAUUAUAUAAUAACUAGCAUAAAGGACUUUUCUAAGAGUGUACGUUAGAUGCGAUGCGCGCGUAUUGUAUAUUUCCGUUUCACUUGUACGUUUUUAUUUUCCACGGUUUUCUGCAAGUACAAAUUGUUUUUAUUUCCCUUUGUACAUAUUGUAUAUAGGAGAGUUAAGAUAUAUUAUAGGGAACCUAAUGGGUAACGUAUCUAUGUAUAAUGGUAUGAAAGAUUUUUUAUAUAUGUACAAUGUUUAUGUAUCUUAUUGAUAUAUUUAUUUAUUAUCGAUUUAUUCGAUAGUGCGUUUAGGGAAUGACGGCUAGGAUUUUUGUACGCAUAAUGUUUAAGUAAAUUAUAGUUGUUUUUAUUAUUUGUUUUAUGUUUUCUAGCAUAUAUAGGGGGUCCGAGGGCUCGUCCUAGUUCUAGGUCUCUUGUUAGUGUUAGAGGUUUCACGUGUAAUUUAGAGUCGUUUCAA
Spodoptera frugiperda (fall armyworm) is the source of this 796-nucleotide long non-coding RNA. RefSeq lists it as uncharacterized. The transcript is spliced from 3 exons. Lineage: Eukaryota; Metazoa; Arthropoda; Insecta; Lepidoptera; Noctuidae. The record is from RefSeq and is a predicted model, not a curated record.